Molecule: small nuclear RNA, 162 nt
Organism: Heterocephalus glaber (naked mole-rat)
Lineage: Eukaryota; Metazoa; Chordata; Mammalia; Rodentia; Bathyergidae
Gene: U4
Rfam family: U4 spliceosomal RNA
About the family: U4 small nuclear RNA (U4 snRNA) is a component of the major U2-dependent spliceosome. The structure of U4 snRNA from yeast and human has been reported.
Source: Ensembl
AUAAUACUAUAGUGACAGUGUCAUAGUCAAUGACAUUUAUCUGAGGCACUAUUAUUGCUAGUUGAAAACUUUUCCCAAUACCCCACUGUGAUGACUUGAAAUAAUAGCAAUAAUAAUAGCAGGAAGUCCAGUUACAUUUGAAUUUCUGAUAAAUUGAAUAAU